Molecule: long non-coding RNA, 1027 nt
Organism: Cucurbita moschata (crookneck pumpkin)
Lineage: Eukaryota; Viridiplantae; Streptophyta; Magnoliopsida; Cucurbitales; Cucurbitaceae
Exons: 3
Source: RefSeq, a predicted model, not a curated record
GCUACCUUAUUCUUCCUCUUUAUCAUCAUCUUCUUCUUUAAAUUGUCGUUCCCGUCCAUCUCUCGCGCUGUCAUACGUCACCAUUGCCCACGUUGUCCCGCGCUGCCAAGACCAGUCACCGUCGCGCAUCAAAUUGUCGUCGCCAGAACCACUAUUUGGAGGAGUAAAAGUAACCAAGGUAUAAUGCGCCAACCAACGAAGUUACAAUGUGGUUUCUUUUCUAAAUAGUUCGAAUUUGACUCAACCUCUACGUAGGAAGAAGAAAAUGAUUAACAACGUAAAGGCAAGACACCUCUAUAUGGUUGAUGACGACAUUGCAAGUAAAGACCGAUGAAGAAGGAAACUAUGCUCGAGAUAGUUGUAAGAUUAAAAAAAAAACGGACAAGAUCAACAUAGGAACAAGGUCAUUUCGCCCCUACUCCUACCUGAGGAGUCUGGAUAGUUGAGUCAUCACAAGAAAGCGAAAGAAAGGGGAGGAAAAGAAGAAGGGAUAAGAAGAAGUUAGGAUUUUGAAAGAAAAGAAGAACAGAGAAAUCGGCUGCCUCAAAUCUGCCGUUGGAGAUCGAAUCGAAGGCAAGAAACUUCAAAUCAAGACUCCUCUUGGUGCUAGAAGAAGAGUUUGGGGAGUGGACUCGCCCAUUCCGACUAGAAAAUCCGAGAAUGGACAAGAUCUAAGGAGUUUCUUGAACAAUAGAUCUGGAGUUUUGAGGUGUCUAAUCAAAAGAGGAUUCACACAGGUUUCUUGAAGAAAUCUCGAACAAAAAUUGGAGCUUGAUUGGAAUUCGGGUGAACUGGUCAAGAAUAGAAAACGGGAGUUUUUCGGUAUCUUUGAAUGGAUUUAAUUCAUUCUAUAUUCAAGAGAAGGGAGUUUUUCGGUAUCUUUGAAUGGAUUUAAUUCAUUCUAUAUUCAAGAGAAAAAUAAAAGAAAAAUAUGUCGAUGUAGGUGAAUAAAAAAUUUACGACUUUGGUGAAGAAACCAAGUCAAUCCAAGUUAUGUGCGAAAAGUUACCAAAAUCUGAACUUCGAU